RNAcentral lists this transfer RNA (72 nucleotides) under Segatella copri. RNAcentral's name for it is "tRNA-Gly". It matches the Rfam family "tRNA". Rfam says of the family: Transfer RNA (tRNA) molecules are approximately 80 nucleotides in length. Lineage: Bacteria; Pseudomonadati; Bacteroidota; Bacteroidia; Bacteroidales; Prevotellaceae. The record is from RNAcentral.
GCGGAAAUAGCUCAGUUGGUAGAGCACAACCUUGCCAAGGUUGGGGUCGCGGGUCCGAGUCCCGUUUUCGGA